Molecule: long non-coding RNA, 1100 nt
Organism: Helianthus annuus (common sunflower)
Lineage: Eukaryota; Viridiplantae; Streptophyta; Magnoliopsida; Asterales; Asteraceae
Exons: 4
Source: RefSeq, a predicted model, not a curated record
CUAACCGCCAGUGAAAUCAAUAUCCACCGUUAGAUCCUGCUGAAAUGAAAUCUGAGCUGUUUAAACUCACAUUAAUAACUGCUUCCAUGGCGGUUCACGGUAGUUCUUGGCAGUUUUCUACAGGUGGUUUUGCUCCAAAUUUUUCUGCCCAUAACCACCACGUGUGGUGGUUAUCUCCUCAAUUGAACAUUCUCUCCCAUUCUCCUUAUUUCCAGCGGCAGUUGAGGUGAAUAACAGUCCCUCCCCCAUUAUCGCCGUCUCCUAUCCCCUAUUUGUAACCCGUAUCACACUUCAAAUCUCAUUCACUCCUACUCUAACUAGCCUCCGAUGCCUAUGAGUUCUUCGCCCGCUAUUAAGUCAGUGCCCUCCUUCUAUUUGCGAGUCUCAUCCUAUUCUGGAUCCAAUUGUUGAUUGUUAAUCAUUUUUCUGGUAACCCUAAUGGUUCUUUGCCGACAAAUUCGAAGACUUCAGAUAAACCCUUGCUUCGUUCCAACAUUCAACCAUAGAUCGAUCGGUAUGAAGUCUCCAAUCAAAAAACUAAGUGGGCUAGGUCUAACCAGGCAUCAUGCUCAUCCUUCUCCUGCCCAGCUGGAUGAACUCUCAGGCUUCCCAGGAUAUAUGCAAUACAUGAAAGAUUGUUGUGACAGUUUACUCUCGCCUACAGUUGCCACUGCCAACAGUGCAUAUGGAUUCUCAUAAUCAUUACAGGAAAUGGGAGAUUGCCUUCUCGAGAAAACCUCACAACGAUGAUGAAGACGGUGAUAGAGUCUUGCUGAUGCUCACAAUGGUGCAAUUUGAAAUACAGAAGCUGCUUGAUACCUAUGUGAAGAAGAAGCGAAUAUAUGAUAUAACAACUGUUCUUGAAGGUUGAAGGCGUUGGUCUUAUUGAGAAGGAGUCCCUGAACAGAAUCCGCUAGAAUUAAUGUUUUAGUUUGCAAGUUGUAGAUGAUUAGCUUACCCUGGUUAACUAUACCGUUUUAUAUGAACUUUGAUUAAUUGUUUAGGGACCAAGAUAUUUCCGAACCCGUGUGUAAUAGGUAACUCCGCCUACAUAUUGUGCUUUGAAACAAGCAACGAUUCAAGGUUACCAUUUUCAGUAA